AAUGUUAUGAGUGCCCAUACGAUGUCUUCAAGCCGGUUACUGUAAAAAAUCACCUGUAGACAAAUUGAGGUUUCCCUGAAGAAAAUAAUCAAUGGAGGUCAAAUCUGGAGAAGCUAGGCUCCAGCAAAAGCAUUUUUUGUUUGGGACCUGUGAGUAUGAGUUUCUAUCGGCCAAUGUGGAUUCUGAUUGAGAUUCAAUGAACAAAUUGUUAUUUUAUUCCCAUUUUUGUAUCACAACUUCGCAAAAUUCCAAUGUAGAAUCGAAAUAAUGUAAAAGAAGACUGUGUAGUUAUUUAAUUCCAUAGUACACUGCUUCUUUUGAAAAGACAUAGCAUAAUGCUGCAACUUGAGUGUUAUUUUCAAAUUUUCUCUAAUAAUAUACGAAUCUUGAUAUAAGACUUGUUAUUUUGCAUCAUUACUUUGUAAUUCAAUAGUGCACAGCUUCUUUUAAACAGACAGACAAACUAUUUAAUAGCUCAAGUUUCAAUCAAGUAUCCAGGGAAUUUUCGAUUAUCCAACAUGAAGGAAGCAAAAAAUGUAGAUCAUAGGUACAAUAUCAACUGUAUUUGGCAUUGCGGCUUUCAAUUCUUGUUAAUUGUAUUCCACUAGAGUUUUUUUCAAAAUUUUGAAAACUUGAUUGAAAACUUUUUCUAUUUUUCCGUUUUAGCAUCAUAAAUUUGUACAAUUCCAAUUUAUAAUCGAAAUAGUCUAAAAGAAAACUGUGUAAUGAUACAAUUCCAUGGUUCACACAUUCUUUUGAAAAGACAGGACAUAAUCCUGCAACUUGCGUGUCAUUUUCAAAUUUUUGUAUCAAUUUGUGAAUCCUGAUUGAAAACUUGUUAUUUUCUCUUAAAUAAAUUCUUGAUUCAUAUUAA
Diorhabda carinulata is the source of this 874-nucleotide long non-coding RNA. RefSeq lists it as uncharacterized. The record is from RefSeq and is a predicted model, not a curated record. The transcript is spliced from 2 exons. NCBI's taxonomy places the organism in Eukaryota, Metazoa, Arthropoda, Insecta, Coleoptera, Chrysomelidae.